AGAGGAGUGGAUGGAGGGAUGGAUGGUAUAGAGGAGUGGAUGGAGGGAAGGAGGGUAUAGAGGAGUGGAUGGAGGGAUUGAGGGUAUAGGGGAGUGGAUGGAGGGAUAGAGGGUAUAGAGGAGUGGAUGGAGGGAUAGAGAGAUGGAGGGUAUAGAGGAGUGGAUGGAGGCAUAGAGGGUAUAGAGGAGUGGAUGGAGGGAUAGAUGAUAUAGGAGUGGAUGGAGGGAUAGAGGGUAUAGAGGAGUGGAUGGAGGCAUAGAGAGAUGGAGGGGUAGAGGGUAUAGAGGAGUGGAUGGAGGGAUAGAGGGUAUAGAGGAGUGGAUGGAGGCAUAGAGAGAUGGAGGGAUAGAUGGUAUAGAGGAGUGGAUGGAGGGAUAGAGGGUAUAGAGGAGUGGAUGGAGGGAUAGAGGGUAUAGAGGAGUGGAUGGAGGGAUAGAGGGUAUAGAAGAGUGGAUGGAGGGAUAGAGGGUAUAGAGGAGUGGAUGGAGUUAUAGAGGAGUGGAUGGAGGGAUAGAGGGUAUAGAGGAGUGGAUGGAGGUAUAGAGGAGUGGAUGGAGGGAUAGAGGGUAUAGAGGAGUGGAUGGAGGUAUAGAGGAGUGGAUGGAGGGAUAGAGGGUAUAGAGGAGUGGAUGGAGGAAUAGAGGGUAUAGAGGAAUGGAGGGAUAGAGGGUAUAGAGGAGUGGAUGGAGGAAUAGAGGGUAUAGAGGAGUGGAUGGAGGCAUAGAGAGAUGGAGGAAUAGAGGGUAUAGAGGAGUGGAUGGAGGGAUAGAGAGAUGGCGGGAUAGAGGGUAUAGAGGAGUGGAUGGAGGGAUAGAGGGUAUAGAGGAGUGGAUGGAGGGAUAGAGAGAUGGAGGGAUAGAGGGUAUAGAGGAGUGGAUGGAGGCACAGAGAGAUGGAGGGAUAGAGGGUAUAGAGGAGUGGAUGGAGGCAUAGAGAGAUGGAGGGAUAGAGGGUAUAGAGGAGUGGAUGGAGGGAUAGAGAGAUGGAGGGAUAGAGGGUAUAGAGGAGUGGAUGGAGGCAUAGAGGGUAUAGAGGAGUGGAUGGAGGCAUAGAGAGAUGGAGGGAUAGAUGGUAUAGAGGAGUGGAUAGAGGGAUAGAGGGUAUAGAGGAGUGGAUGGAGGGAUAGAGGGUAUAGAGGAGUGGAUGGAUG
Long non-coding RNA from Oncorhynchus tshawytscha (Chinook salmon), 1151 nucleotides. The record is from Ensembl. NCBI's taxonomy places the organism in Eukaryota, Metazoa, Chordata, Actinopteri, Salmoniformes, Salmonidae.